GAUGAACGCUAGCGAUAGGCUUAACACAUGCAAGUCGAGGGGCAGCAUGGUCUUAGCUUGCUAAGACUGAUGGCGACCGGCGCACGGGUGCGUAACGCGUAUGCAACUUGCCUCACAGAGGGGGAUAACCCGUCGAAAGACGGACUAAUACCGCGUACACUCCAUCUUGGGCAUCCAAGGUAGAGGAAAUGAAAUUCGCUGUGAGAUAGGCAUGCGUCCCAUUAGCUAGUUGGUGAGGUAACGGCUCACCAAGGCGACGAUGGGUAGGGGAACUGAGAGGUUGAACCCCACACUGGUACUGAGACACGGACCAGACUCCUACGGGAGGCAGCAGUGAGGAAUAUUGGUCAAUGGGCGAGAGCCUGAACCAGCCAAGUCGCGUGAAGGAUGACUGUCUUAUGGAUUGUAAACUUCUUUUAUACGGGAAUAACAAGAGUCACGGGUGACUCCCUGCAUGUACCGUAUGAAUAAGCAGCGGCUAACUCCGUG
Molecule: ribosomal RNA, 489 nt
Filed under: uncultured bacterium
Lineage: Bacteria
Description: partial 16S ribosomal RNA
Rfam family: Bacterial small subunit ribosomal RNA
Source: RNAcentral